AAAGUCGUAACAAGGUCUCCGUUGGUGAACCAGCGGAGGGAUCAUUACAGAGUUGCAAAACUCCCAACCAUUGUGAACCUACCUCACCGUUGCUUCGGCGGGUGGCCCCCACCGGGGCCGCGCCGGCCCCCGGGCCGGCAACCCGUCAGAGGACCGAAACUCUUAGUAAUCAUUGGCCUCUCUGAGUAACUUAUACAAUAAGUCAAAACUUUCAACAACGGAUCUCUUGGUUCUG
This 235-nucleotide unclassified non-coding RNA is filed under the name fungal sp. RNAcentral describes it as "partial contains small subunit ribosomal RNA, internal transcribed spacer 1, and 5.8S ribosomal RNA". The stretch from base 1 to 47 matches the Rfam family "Eukaryotic small subunit ribosomal RNA", at positions 1785 to 1831 of the family's 1831-position model. Lineage: Eukaryota; Fungi. The record is from RNAcentral.